UACGUAGGGGGGCAAGCGUUGUCCGGAUUCAUUGGGCGUAAAGGGUGCGUAGGCGGCGCGGUAAGUCGGGUGUGAAAUCUCGGGGCUUAACUCCGAAACUGCAUUCGAUACUACCGUGCUUGAGGACUGGAGAGGAGACUGGAAUUUACGGUGUAGCGGUGAAAUGCGUAGAUAUCGUAAGGAAGACCAGUGGCGAAGGCGGGUCUCUGGACAGUUCCUGACGCUGAGGCACGAAGGCCAGGGGAGCAAACGGG
This 254-nucleotide ribosomal RNA is filed under the name uncultured bacterium. Its description in RNAcentral is "partial 16S ribosomal RNA". It matches the Rfam family "Bacterial small subunit ribosomal RNA", at positions 524 to 776 of the family's 1533-position model. The record is from RNAcentral.